GAUGAACGCUAGCGGCAGGCUUAACACAUGCAAGUCGAGGGGUAUAGGGAGCUUGCUCCCUAGAGACCGGCGCACGGGUGCGUAACGCGUAUGCAAUCUACCUUUUACAGAGGGAUAGCCCAGAGAAAUUUGGAUUAAUACCUCAUAGUAUUAUAGGAUGGCAUCAUUUUAUAAUUAAAGUCACAACGGUAAAAGAUGAG
Molecule: ribosomal RNA, 200 nt
Filed under: uncultured bacterium
Lineage: Bacteria
Description: partial 16S ribosomal RNA
Rfam family: Bacterial small subunit ribosomal RNA
Source: RNAcentral